CCAAAGUGUUGGGAUUACAGAUGUGAGCCACCGCGCCCGGCCUUAUUAUUAUUAUUUUUCAAAAUAACGGAAAAAACAGCCAGACAAGUCUGGGGCCCUGGCAUUUGCUCCUCCGGGACUCCUAGGUCAGUGCUCUGCUCUGGCCUUCGCUAAAUGCGUCUUGCCUGUUGAGAGCUGACUAAAGGGAAUCAGUUUAUAAAUGUUUAAGCGCCUGCCCAGAACUUGGCUCUCUAGAUUCCCGAAUCUCUGAUAAAUUUCCCGUUGUUGCUAGUAAUGAGGUUAGUUUGUUGGCGGCAUAAGGUGGAUCCUGGGGAGAGUGAGACUGUGGCACCAGAAGCUUGGCAUUUCCCUUCGGCUGCCGGUAUCUUCCCGUGACUCCCGAUUCUUCUUUUCCAGUUUUCCAGGGCAAUGGCUGCCAGGUUUUCCUUAUAUUUAAGUAGUUAAUGGAGUUAGGAGAUUAGAGCCCUGUCAUUUAUUUGCCUUAUCACUUUGUAUAAGUUAUUUCGCAGUGCCCAGAUUGCCUCAUCUUUAAGAUUCGCAAUACCAAACUCUCAAACUUGUUGGGAGGAUUGAGUAAAUGAGUUAUGUGCAAAUGCUUCGCACUAGACGGGUACUUAAUAAUACUAAGUACAUAUAGGUGCCCAAACGUAUUGGUCAAAUGAACAUUAAGUCAUCUGAACCAAAGCUUAAUCUUUUUUGAACAGUAAAAGUCUUCGAUCAAUUAGGAAAACAAACUUAGAUUCUGCAGAAAAACAACCAAAAUCUCAAAAUUAUGUAUUGAGUAAUUUACUAUAGAGAGACAGUAUAGUAUAGCAUAGUAUAGUAUAGUAUAGUAGUUAUGGGCAAAAUAUCUGGACUCAGACUGCAUAGUAAAUUUGUCCAUUAGUUUGAAUACUAAAGCCAAAUGAUUUUAGCAUUAAGUCGUGUCUAGGUAGAACAAUAAUCAUUACCUUCACAGGUCUUUUGUCUCAUCCCAAUAAUGUAUGUGAAAUCACACUGAAAAGUAGAAUGUGCUUUAAGCCUACUUAUGUACACAGUAUUUCUAGUCAUUAUAGGGAAUGCAAUAUAUUACUUUUAACAUGUAGAAGAGUCCAAGAUGUUAAGAAAACAAGGAAAUAAAUACUGCAAGAUGAUUUUGUAUGAUAAAAAAAAGUAUUACUAGUUAGUGUUAAUAAAGAAAUAUCACUGUGGUAUGGGAGAAAGAUGAAUGUGCGUUAGUUCUUGAAAAAUAGUUGGAAAUAAUUGCACUCCACACAUUCUAAUUUUUCCUGUAGUCUUUUCUGGUAUUAAAAAAAUUAUGAUAGAAAUUUUAGUGUUUUAUGAUGACAUUUUUCUAACCAUUUCAUGAUGGAGCUUGUUUAGAGUAGGCAAGAAUGCUGAAAAAUAGUAACCUUUUUGGGACUCCUUUUCUCCAAGUAUAAAAUGAUAAUACAACUUCCAAUCAAUUGUCCAGUAUGUCACUUUGUAAAAACAUUUUGAUACUAUAGACAUUUCCUGAGGACUGCCAGCUUAUUAAGUGGUACAACUUUUGGUUUGCUUAAAUGCUGCAUUGCAUGCCUCUUUUCUCUUGGCCUGUGUAAAAUUGCUUUUAAGUUACUCGGAGUACUCCAGCCCAUACAGAAUUCUCUCCUUUCUGAAUUCCUGUAGCGUGUAUAAUCUGAACUACAUUAUCUAACACUGAGUGUCUUAGUAGUGGACAUGUAUAGAAUUCAUUAGUUUUUCCUCACUUGUGAGUUAGACGGGGGUAGGUGAUAUUAACAUUUCACACAUUUGGAAAUAGCAUUUCACACAUCUGGAAACCGGGGCUUAGAAAGGACAAGUAAUUUGCUGAAGUUCGGAGUGCCAAGUCCACAUCAUAACCAGGUCUCUUGGAUUCUAGUCCUGUUGGUUUUCCACAGUAUGACAUGCUAAUGUGGUUCAUUUUGUUGUCCAUUUGUUUCAUGUCUGUGGCUCUUGUAAGUUCCUUGUAAAGAAUCUUAAAUUCUCCAGAGCUACACAGGCAGUUUCCUCUUCCACUCAGGGGUCUCUUAGUAUCUUUCUCUUGUAUUUCUAUUAAAUAUGUUGCCUUCUGCUACUCAUUGGACAUACUCAGUGUUUAAAAAACAUUUUUGGUCUUGUAUUAAGCUAAUUUCAAAACUGAACAGGUUACUGCCUAGAAUUUUAGUCUUCUAAGUGUCACAUAAGUUCUUUAUAAACAAGCUCCCCCCUCAAAUAAUAUUUCUUAUU
Molecule: long non-coding RNA, 2226 nt
Organism: Sapajus apella (tufted capuchin)
Lineage: Eukaryota; Metazoa; Chordata; Mammalia; Primates; Cebidae
Exons: 2
Source: RefSeq, a predicted model, not a curated record